AGUGAACGCUGGCGGUAGGCCUAACACAUGCAAGUCGAACGGCAGCACAGUAAGAGCUUGCUCUUACGGGUGGCGAGUGGCGGACGGGUGAGGAAUACAUCGGAAUCUACUUUUUCGUGGGGGAUAACGUAGGGAAACUUACGCUAAUACCUCAUACGACCUACGGGUGAAAGCAGGGGAUCUUCGGACCUUGCGCGAUUGAAUGAGCCGAUGUCGGAUUAGCUAGUUGGCGGGGUAAAGGCCUACCAAGGCGACGAUCCGGAGCUGGUCUGAGAGGAUGAGCAGCCACACUGGAACUGAGACACGGUCCAGACUCCUACGGGAGGCAGCAGUGGGAGAUAUUGGACAAUGGGCGCAAGCCUGAUCCAGCCAUACCGAGUGGGUGAAGAAGGCCUUCGGGUUGUAAAGCCCUUUUGUUGGGAAAGAAAAGCAGCAGGUUAAUACCCCGCUGUUCUGACGGUACCCAAAGAAUAAGCACCGGCUAACUUCGUG
RNAcentral lists this ribosomal RNA (492 nucleotides) under uncultured bacterium. RNAcentral describes it as "partial 16S ribosomal RNA". It matches the Rfam family "Bacterial small subunit ribosomal RNA", at positions 29 to 507 of the family's 1533-position model. The record is from RNAcentral.